Molecule: non-coding RNA, 73 nt
Organism: Cricetulus griseus (Chinese hamster)
Lineage: Eukaryota; Metazoa; Chordata; Mammalia; Rodentia; Cricetidae
Source: Rfam
GGAGAUAUGGCUCAGUGGUUAAGAGCAUUAACUGCCCUUCUAGAGGUCCUGGGUUCAAUUCCCAGCACCCACA